GUAUCCUGGCUCAGGAUGAACGCUAGCUACAGGCUUAACACAUGCAAGUUGAGGGGCAUCAGGAAGAAAGCUUGCUUUCUUUGCUGGCGACCGGCGCAUGGGGUGAGUAACACGUAUCCAACCUGCCCUUUACUCGGGGAUAGGCCUUUCGAAAGAAAGAUUAAUACCCGAUGGCAUAAUGAUUCCGCAUGGUUUCAUUUAUUAAAGGAUUCCGGUAAAGGAUGGGGAUGCGUUCCAUUAGGUUGUUGGUGAGG
Molecule: ribosomal RNA, 254 nt
Filed under: uncultured bacterium
Lineage: Bacteria
Description: partial 16S ribosomal RNA
Rfam family: Bacterial small subunit ribosomal RNA
Source: RNAcentral